CCACGAAAUUGACGGCCAUAGCUCUCCGGAAAUUGAUGACCAUCGCCGGCCAUAGCCCUCAUCCCUAGUCCAUCUGUCUAUCGGUUUCCUGAAUCUUCAAUUUUUUUCUGAGGUAAUAUUUUCCCCCCAUUCUCUGUCUCUCUGUCUCUCUCUCGCCUUCAUACACACAUACAUUCAUCAAUCAAAGAGGCUUAAUAAUCAGUUUCAGUUUAAGAAUACAUUCAGAAAUAGUUUGUUCUAUGUAAAUGCAUUCAGCGUGAAUACAUUCAUCAAUCUCUAUGUAUGUCCGCAAUGCCGAGUGUGAACGCAUUAAAGAGACUUAAUCAGUUUCAGUUUGAGAAUACAUUCAAAAAUAAUUUGUUCUGUGUGACUACAUUCAUCAAUCUCUCUGUUAAUGUGUUCUGUGUUCAUACACACAUACAUUCAUCAAUCAGAGAGGGUUAAUCAGUUUCAGUUUGAGAAUACAUUCAGAAAUAGUUUGUUCUGUGUUCCAGGUCUGUGACUACACAAAUUGUUCUUUGUUCCAAUUUGUUAAUGUGAGCCCAUUAUAUUUUACAUUGAAAUUAGUUUGUUAAUCAUUUUGUUAAUGUAUAGAUUGUCUCUGUUCUAUUCUGUGUUCUCUGAUCUGUUCUAUUGAAAUUAGUCUCUAUUUUUCUUAUCUUUUUUUUUUAACAAACUUUAGUGUCUUACUUCUAUUUGUGGAACUUCUAAACAUGUCAAAUAUUACUUAUUAGAUGAAGUUGCUAUAAUUUAUUAGUGUUUGAAAACUUGGACUUACCCAGUAAACAUUCUAAAAUCAUUCUAUUUCAAUUUCAUUUUUCAAAGUGGAAGAAUGGAGGUUGAUUCAAAUGGUGGUAACAAUCCUUCAGUAAAUGAGGGUGAACAAGUUGAAGAACCUAAGAAGGGUAAGUAUUUUCUCUCAAGGGAGGAAGUGUACACAUUUUAUGGCAAAUAUGCUAAGCAUGUUGGAUUUUCUAUAGCUCAUAGAGCACAACAUUUUGGAGAUGAUGGACAAUUAAAAAACUUUGCAAUUGAAUGUUCUCAAGCAAGGGAGAGGGAAAAAAAUCAGAAAUGAACCCUUUGAAGCCAUCUUUGUCAACAAAAAUCGAUUACCAAGCAAGGGUACGAGGUAGUCUACAAAAGGAUGGGAGAUAUAUGUUAACCACAGUUAACCUUGAGUAUAAUCAUGAUUUGAUUCCCACUGACUCACGUCAUUUUACAAUGAAUAAGAAAAUUCUUACUCCUAUGAAGAGACGAUUAGAAAUUAAUGAUCAAGCGGGGAUUGGGGUGUCUAGGAACUAUCAUUCAAUGGUUGUUGAAGCGGGGGGAUACGAGUCAUUAACAUUUGAUGAGCAAAAUGCAAAGAAUUACAUUGAUAGAGGUAGAAGAUUAAGGCUUGGGGAAGGUAAUGCCCAAUCACUUCAAAGUUAUUUUAUGAAGAUGCAAGCACAUAGUGAGAGAUUCUUUUAUGUGAUUGACGUUAAUGAUGAGUGUCACAUUAGAAACUUGUUUGGGGCUGAUGCAAAGAGUCGGGCUACUUAUGAAACAUUUGGAGAUGUUUUUUCAUUUGACACAACCUAUCUGACAAACAAAUAUGACAUACCAUUUGCUCCAUUUGUAGGAGUUAAUCACUUGGGUGUGGAUUGUUAUCUAGUGAAGACACUGACACAUUUGUUUGGCUAUUUAAGUCGUGGUUAAGUUGCAUGUCAAACCGUCCUCCAAAAGCUAUCAUAACUGAUCAGUGCAGAGCUAUGCAAAAUGCUAUAGAAAUUGUAUUUCCAUAGGCUCGACAUCGAUGGUGCUUAUAGCAUAUAAUGAAGAAAAUUCCGGAGAAGUUGAAAGGAUAUGCUGAGUAUGAACGCAUAAAAUUGUCUAUGCAAAAUACAGUUUAUGACUGUUUGACAAGAGAUGAAUUUGAGAAUCAAUGGGAAAAGAUGCUUACAAAAUUCAAUUUUUAUAAUAAUGACUGGUUGGGGGUACUAUAUGAUGAGCGGCAUCGAUGGGUUUAUGUAUAUGUUAAAGACAUAUUUUGGUUUGGCAUGUCAGUUACACAAUGAAGUGAAAGUAUGAAUGCAUUUUUUGAUGGAUAUGUCAACCCGAAAACUACAUUAAAGCAAUUUGUUGAACAAUAUGACAAUGCAUUGAGAAGCAAGGUAGAGAAAGAGAAGAAAUCAGACUUCAAGUCUCGACACAAAUUGUUUGAUUGUCUGACUAUAUAUGGCUUUGAGAAGCAAUUUCAGCAAACAUACACCAAUGCAAAAUUCAAAGAAGUUCAAGGAGAGUUGAAGAGAUUAGUUUAUUGUUAGGCAGUGAUUGUGAAAGAGGAAGAAUCAAUUUGUACAUAUAAUGUCCAAGAAGCGAUGGUAGUUUGUGAGAAGAUGAAGCAUGUGGACUUUGUUGUAUAUUUUAAUUCAAUUGAAUGUGAAGUUCAAUGUAUGUGUCGGUUGUUUGAGUUUAGAGGCAUUGAAGAAAAGAUUUGGUUCGAGAGUACACAUGCAUCAAAACCACAUACAGUGGCUUUGGAGGUGAUUUCAAUGCAAGUUGUUAUGAGAGGAUGAACAAGAAAUUGAUUGGCAUUGUACAACUUGCUAGUAACUGUGAAGGGAAAAUUAAAAUGAUAGACCUUGGGUUGGAUGAAAUGAAGGAUAGAGUCAUGAAAGAUGAAUCUGGUAGUGGGAGUAAUUUACAAGCUUGUACUACUUUCAUACCAUCUUGUAGAAAAAGUCCGAUUGCCACCAGUUCUACAAUAGUGUCUACUACUAGGAAGGUGAUCAGUCCUUUGGUUGCUCGGUGAAGAGGCCGUCUAGUUACGAAACAAAAGGUUGCCAACGUAGAUCAAAUAGUCAAUCGGUUCAAGGCAACGGCAAAAAAACAAACAAAAGCAAAGACCGCUAAGGAGCUUCGAUUUGAAGCUCAAGCUCAAGCUCAAGCUUAUGCAUUGUAUUAUCCUUAUAUGGGUGGCAUGCAGAAUAGUAUGUAUGUACCGGUGGUAAAUGCUAUUGAAGGCACAUCUGUUACCCCAUCGGAGUUUAUAAGAGGCACACUAGGAAGUUUGAUGAAUGCACCAACUCAAAGUUUUGGUUCUGGAUCUCUAACCCCAUCGGGUUCUAAUGCAUAAACUCCGAGAAUGAAUGAUGGACAUUAUAGACAUGUUUGACUUGUUUAUUGAACUUUUACAAUUAGUUUUAGAGAUUAGAACUUAUUAUGUUAAGUCCCACCUUAGAUGUGUAAAAAAUGUUCUGUCCCACCUUAUUAUAGACAUGUUUGACUUGUUAAUUGAACUUUCUGUGCCUGGGUUA
This is a long non-coding RNA of Camellia sinensis, 3299 nucleotides long. RefSeq lists it as uncharacterized. The record is from RefSeq and is a predicted model, not a curated record. Lineage: Eukaryota; Viridiplantae; Streptophyta; Magnoliopsida; Ericales; Theaceae.